GAAAUGCGAUAAGUAAUGUGAAUUGCAGAAUUCAGUGAAUCAUCGAAUCUUUGAACGCACAUUGCGCCCGCCAGCACUCUGGCGGGCAUGCCUGUUCGAGCGUCAUUUCAACCCUCAGAACCCCUUGCGGGAUCUGGCGUUGGGGAUUGGCAUCCAGCCAGCCCCGAAAUCUAGUGGCGGUCCCUCCGCGACCUCCCCUGUGCAGUAGCGAUACCUCGCAGCGGGACAGCGGUCUGACCACGCCGUAAAACCCCCAACUUCUCAAGUUUGACCUCGAAUCAGGUAGGAAUACCCGCUGAACUUAAGC
RNAcentral lists this unclassified non-coding RNA (307 nucleotides) under plant metagenome. Its description in RNAcentral is "partial contains 5.8S ribosomal RNA, internal transcribed spacer 2, and large subunit ribosomal RNA". The stretch from base 1 to 105 matches the Rfam family "5.8S ribosomal RNA", at positions 50 to 154 of the family's 154-position model. The record is from RNAcentral.